GCAAGAAAGGAAUACAUGCAAACAAUUCGCGCUGGGUACAGAUGAUACAAUCCGACGGUGAAAAAUUGCCAAAUGAGAUCUGAUGGUCGCAGAAGAAAACAUACAAACAAUUCAAGUCUACAUAUUAUCGAGAGAGAAAAUUAAUAAAAACAAAUAUUUUUCCUAACUUUCAAGUGCUCUUCCUCCAUUCUCUCUCUUCUUAAAGAUGUAGACACCAUCGUCGGCGAUGCGGCAACGCUCAAACCUUAUUCCAGGCUGUUGAAUCGAAGCUCCCCGACUCCAUUACUCCUCUCUGUUAAUUCUUACAAUUUCUGAGCCUUUAUUUCUUUCUCAAAAUCAAGCAAAGCAAAAUAUACAAAAAAUAAAAAUCAAUUAAAACUCAGUUCAGUUUUCCUUCUUU
Molecule: long non-coding RNA, 400 nt
Filed under: Linum usitatissimum (flax)
Lineage: Eukaryota; Viridiplantae; Streptophyta; Magnoliopsida; Malpighiales; Linaceae
Description: long non-coding RNA (LUSI_LNC006821)
Source: RNAcentral